Molecule: ribosomal RNA, 465 nt
Filed under: uncultured bacterium
Lineage: Bacteria
Description: bacterial SSU rRNA
Rfam family: Bacterial small subunit ribosomal RNA
Source: RNAcentral
CCUACGGGGCGCACCAGUGGGGAAUAUUGGACAAUGGGCGAAAGCCUGAUCCAGCAAUGCCGCGUGUGUGAAGAAGGCCUUCGGGUUGUAAAGCACUUUCAGCGGGGAGGAAGGCGAUAAGGUUAAUAACCUUGUCGAUUGACGUUACCCGCAGGAGAAGCACCGGCUAACUCCGUGCCAGCAGCCGCGGUAAUACGGAGGGUGCAAGCGUUAAUCGGAAUUACUGGGCGUAAAGCGCACGCAGGCGGUCUGUCAAGUCGGAUGUGAAAUCCCCGGGCUCAACCUGGGAACUGCAUUCGAAACUGGCAGGCUAGAGUCUUGUAGAGGGGGGUAGAAUUCCAGGUGUAGCGGUGAAAUGCGUAGAGAUCUGGAGGAAUGCCGGUGGCGAAGGCGGCCCCCUGGACAAAGACUGACGCUCAGGUGCGAAGGCGUGGGGAGCAAACGGGAUUAGAUACCCCGGUAGUC